RNAcentral lists this long non-coding RNA (784 nucleotides) under Vigna radiata. RNAcentral describes it as "long non-coding RNA (VRAD_LNC004219)". Lineage: Eukaryota; Viridiplantae; Streptophyta; Magnoliopsida; Fabales; Fabaceae. The record is from RNAcentral.
GUGAGUUGAUUCCUCUAUGCACGCCUUCUUCUCCUCAAGAGUUGUUGACUAAUUGGUAAGUGUACCAAAUCGUACAAGUAAUAUAAAUGGUAAGACCAAGUAUCGUUUUCCCAAGAGACUCGAACCCAAGGUGAGGUGCAACAAGGAAUGGAGAUGAUGAACAAGAAGGCGUGAUGUGUGUUGGGUGUGACUAGUGUUCUGUUGUGCCUCUUCAAGAGUGAAUGGAAGUGAGAAUCAGAUGGGUUAUGAUGAGGAUGGGUGGGGAGGGAUAUAGGGGAAAAGAGACAGAAGAAAUGAGGGUUGUGGGGGGAUUAGCAGGAUGGCUUCAUGGUCCUGGAAGAAGAAGUUAUGUGUAGGGGGAUAAGAGUUAGGGAAGAAGGGGUAUGCUCUUGGUAUGUACCUCGCAUUGGGGUGGAAAGAAAAAAGUGAGUGUUGAGGAGUAGAGCACCAUCUCACAUCAUUAGUUUCUCCAUUUCUCACUCUAGGUUCUGAUGUUGAACGUGAUUGUAUGAUCAAGAUGAAUGUUGUUUAAUGGUGGUUUGGAAUGGAUGGGAGGAAGAAGAUGAUGGUGAAGGUUGCAUGAGAGAUUGGUUUUCUUGCGGGACGUGCAGUGAUGAUAAAAGAACUUGUAGAGUGGAGGUUUUGAUGAAAGAUGGUAUGUUGAGUAAGAAAACUAUUCAUUAUCUGCAUCAUAGGGUUGCUGAACAACGUUUUUCGACAUUCAGCUGUCAUGAGUUAUUCUCAAUAAUCUUUUACUGCAAAGAAAUACUAUAAUUUAGAAACU